AAGUCGUAACAAGGUAUCCGUAGGUGAACCUGCGGAUGGAUCAUUCAAAGGUGAAAAUGGCCCUUGGGGCUGUUUUUGUUUUGUGCAAUGUAAUGUGUGAGUGUGUGUGCCUCUCUCUUAAUGGGAGUGGCACAUGCAUCCUCCUUUUUUUUAACCCAUUCUAUCUUACCAAACUUAUUAACCAAAGAACCUUGAAAACUGCCAGCAAUGGAUCCCUCGGUUCUC
This 225-nucleotide unclassified non-coding RNA is filed under the name fungal sp. Its description in RNAcentral is "partial internal transcribed spacer region". The stretch from base 1 to 46 matches the Rfam family "Eukaryotic small subunit ribosomal RNA", at positions 1786 to 1831 of the family's 1831-position model. The record is from RNAcentral. Lineage: Eukaryota; Fungi.